This 253-nucleotide ribosomal RNA is filed under the name uncultured bacterium. Its description in RNAcentral is "partial 16S ribosomal RNA". It matches the Rfam family "Bacterial small subunit ribosomal RNA", at positions 524 to 776 of the family's 1533-position model. The record is from RNAcentral.
UACGAAGGGGGCGAGCGUUGUUCGGAUUUACUGGGCGUAAAGGGCGCGCAGGCGGCUUUGUUUGUCAGGCGUGAAAGCCCCGGGCUUAACCUGGGAACUGCGUUUGAUACGGCAGGGCUAGAGUUCGGGAGAGGAGAGUGGAAUUCCCAGUGUAGAGGUGAAAUUCGUAGAUAUUGGGAAGAACACCGGUGGCGAAGGCGGCUCUCUGGACCGAUACUGACGCUGAGGCGCGAAAGCGUGGGAAGCAAACAGG